Molecule: long non-coding RNA, 378 nt
Organism: Lagopus leucura (white-tailed ptarmigan)
Lineage: Eukaryota; Metazoa; Chordata; Aves; Galliformes; Phasianidae
Exons: 4
Source: RefSeq, a predicted model, not a curated record
GCUAUCCAGAAUUGGUAAAAAGUGCUCUGAAAAAUCCUGGAUGCGUCUCAUGACCGUGUCAGAGAAACAAAGGACAAAGCCAUUGACCUGGAGCACAUCACUAAACACGAGCUGAAUUACUGCUUUCUGUUGGACACCGAAUGAUUGUCACUGGGACUACAUCCAGCUACCCGUGAUGGAUCUCCAGGAAGCCUGACACAGGAACUUUUGCAUUAGUCAAAAUGAAGUGCUCUGUUGAAGGCAUUACUUUCAGGAGACUGAAGGGAAAGGAGGAAUUCAAUGUCAUUUCACUUCCUGAAGUACAGUCUGGAGCUCACCUGAAGAACUGCAAGUGUUAGAUGCUCCCACAGAGCAGAGGCAUACACUACUGGAAUAGGC